Molecule: ribosomal RNA, 1109 nt
Filed under: Tenacibaculum lutimaris
Lineage: Bacteria; Pseudomonadati; Bacteroidota; Flavobacteriia; Flavobacteriales; Flavobacteriaceae
Description: bacterial SSU rRNA
Rfam family: Bacterial small subunit ribosomal RNA
Source: RNAcentral
UGCAGUCGAGGGGUAACAGGGUGCUUGCACCGCUGACGACCGGCGAACGGGUGCGUAACGCGUAUAGAAUCUGCCUUGUACAGGAGGAUAGCCUUUAGAAAUGAAGAUUAAUACUCCAUAAUGUUGGGAAGUGGCAUCACUAUCUAACUAAAGAUUUAUCGGUACAAGAUGACUAUGCGUCCUAUUAGCUAGAUGGUAAGGUAACGGCUUACCAUGGCAACGAUAGGUAGGGGGUCUGAGAGGAUUAUCCCCCACACUGGUACUGAGACACGGACCAGACUCCUACGGGAGGCAGCAGUGAGGAAUAUUGGUCAAUGGAGGCAACUCUGAACCAGCCAUGCCGCGUGCAGGAAGACUGCCCUAUGGGUUGUAAACUGCUUUUAUACAGGAAGAAACAGUCGUACGUGUACGGCCUUGACGGUACUGUAAGAAUAAGCACCGGCUAACUCCGUGCCAGCAGCCGCGGUAAUACGGAGGGUGCAAGCGUUAUCCGGAAUCAUUGGGUUUAAAGGGUCCGCAGGCGGUCAAUUAAGUCAGAGGUGAAAUCCCAUAGCUUAACUAUGGAACUGCCUUUGAUACUGGUUGACUUGAGUUAUACGGAAGUAGAUAGAAUAAGUAGUGUAGCGGUGAAAUGCAUAGAUAUUACUUAGAAUACCGAUUGCGAAGGCAGUCUACUACGUAUAUACUGACGCUCAUGGACGAAAGCGUGGGGAGCGAACAGGAUUAGAUACCCUGGUAGUCCACGCCGUAAACGAUGGACACUAGUUGUUGGGCAAUAGUUCAGUGACUAAGCGAAAGUGAUAAGUGUCCCACCUGGGGAGUACGAUCGCAAGAUUGAAACUCAAAGGAAUUGACGGGGGCCCGCACAAGCGGUGGAGCAUGUGGUUUAAUUCGAUGAUACGCGAGGAACCUUACCAGGGCUUAAAUGUAGAGUGACAGGGGUAGAGAUACCUUUUUCUUCGGACACUUUACAAGGUGCUGCAUGGUUGUCGUCAGCUCGUGCCGUGAGGUGUCAGGUUAAGUCCUAUAACGAGCGCAACCCCUAUCGUUAGUUGCUAGCAGGUAAAGCUGAGGACUCUAGCGAGACUGCCGGUGCAAACCGUGAGGAA